UUAUGUUAUGGAGAUGUAAUUUAUUAAUAUUAUUUAACAAGUAAUGAUUUUUAGUAUUUUAGUACAAGCAUGUCCCAUGCAACAUUUGUAAUAUAUAACUAAAAUAUAUAUUUUGUUUUCAUAAAUAAUAGAUAGUAUUCAUUAAACAAUAAAUAUUUUGGAGUGGGGGCAUAGCUCAGUGGUAGAGGGCUUGCCUAGCAUGUGAGAGGCCCUGGGUUUGAUCCCCAGCACCACAAAUAAUUAAAUAUUUUGGGCUGGCACAGUGGUGCAGGCCUAUAAUUCCAGUGAUGGGGAAGGCUGAGAUGGGAGGAUGCAAGUGUGAGGGCAGCCUCGGCAAAUUAGUGACACCCUCAGCAAUUUAGUGAGGCCCUGUCUCAAAGGAAAAAUUUUUAAACAAUAAAAAGGGCCGGGGAUGUAGCUCAGUGGUGAAGCACCCUGGUUUAAAUCCCCAGUACCCAAAUAAAUAAAUGAAUAUUUCGUUUUAAUGCGGAAUGUCCUGGGUUUAGUAAACUUAAUAAGCAUCUUAGCGUGAGUGUAUCCCAGGUAGCACUGGGGAUGUAAUUGCACCGAGCAGUUCCUCCCUGGGACGGAUGCGCACGCCUGCUGGGGAGACCAGUCACCUAGAGCGGCUCUGCGCCCCACCCGCCACUGGCCUGCACCCUGCACGCUGACCUGUAGUCCUCCCGGGUGGCGAUGAGGCUGGACACGUUGCGCAGGAUGCCGCCGCCACUCUCAAUGACCGCCAGGGAGUUGCCCUGGCACCGGUAGGUGAGCGUGCUCACCAGGAAGCCUAGGGCGCCAUCCACCUGGCAGAUGGCUGCCUUGUUCUCCGUGCUGUGGGCGGACAGGUUCCACAGGGCGCUGAGCACGCUCUUCAGGGUGGACUCCUGGGCACGGGUGGGCGGAGUCAGCACGGCCACGCCCCUGCCUCCCCGAGGCAGGCGGGGGAGGUUUCCAGGAGCAGUAAGGAUCAUAAACUCGGCUCCAGGGCCCUCUGAACCACAGGGCUGGCCCCUGCAGGUCCAGCUGUGGCUGGACCACGGCCUGAGCAAGGUUGGCUUGACCCACCCUGGACAGGCCAGGGCUCAUUGCUGGUGGCCAGUGACCCCUUCCCCGUGCCCACCUUAGAGGCCCGCAGGACACACUGCAUCAAGGCGGUCAUGCUGCCGACCUCCCGCAGCACCUUCUUGCUGUUGAUGUCCGCCCUCCAGGACAGGUUGCGCAGGAUGCUGGACACCACCUGGGGCGGGUUGAGGGCAGACACGGUGGGACCCAGGCAGGCACAUCCCGAGCCAACCUGGGGCCGGAGCAGGUAGAGAGCAGGCCUGCUGGCCCUGGCCCUGGGCGUGGCCACGCAUGCCCCACCCACCUGGUGCAGCUCCUCACUGUCGGAGUCCAGCUGGGCCACGAUGGCCUCCAUGCAGCCCCGGCGGGCACACAGGGUGGCCUGUUGGGGCGACACAGGACAGUCAACCUCACAGCCACCAGGCAGGGCCAUGAGGAAGACCCCGUCCCCAGCUGCACCUCACUGCCAAGGCGCGAAGCACGGAUCUGCAAGGGAGAAAACAUGUUGCACCGAGGCGCACAAGGGCUCCCCCUGCCCCCCGCCCUGACUCCGCCUCCACCUGGACCCUGGCCCUGACUCCGCCUCCUGAGCCAGGCCCCGUCCUCAGAAGUCGGCUCUCCGAGUCCUCCUGGGGCACCAGACUCCGCCCAUGGACGCAGCCCCGCCCGCAGUCAUCUCUGCCCUCGGACUCGCCCACUGGCAGGCAGCCUCGCCCCCUCUGGAGCCGCAACCAGGCUGCACCUGGGCGCGCUGCACCAUCUCGUCGGAGGUGCCGAAGCGCUCCUCCAUCAGCGAGCGGAUGUGCUGUGCCUCGAACUCCAGCUGCUGCCGGAUCAGGUCCAUCUGCAUCGAGAACUGCUGGGAAAGGUGGGCGGGCUGCCUGAGGGGUGCCCGAGAGAGGAGCCAGGGUCUCCCCACGGCUCCCCUGCCCUGGGCGGCCGGGCACCCCUGUCCAGCUCACCGUCUCCACGUGCGGUAGCUCGUCCAGGCGCUUGGACAGGCCCUGAAGCUUUCCUCCAGCAACCGGAUGGUGGCCCGGCUCAGCUCCCCGAAGCUGUCCUUGGAUGGCCCGGAGCCGUGGACUGGGCUUCCCUCUGGGGUCCGGGGAGUGGGCUCUGGGCCCAAGGCGGGUGGCUGGAACUUGAGGUUGUACAAGCUGGCGAUGUCCAUUUGGAGAGCUGGGUGGGCAGGAGCACCAGGACGGAGGUCAGCGCCCCUCCUGCCGCCCAGGCCCCGCUGCUCUGGAGGAGGACCCAGCACACCGCUCACCUUUCAGCUGCUGCAGCACCUCGGUCUGCCCGGAGGACACCAGCACCCGGGCCUCCUGCUCCAGCUUGCCCUCUAGGUGUUUCAGGACCUCCUGCCGGGGUGAAACUGAGGCCCAGGGGCAAACAGACCCAGUGAGGAAGUGGACAGGUGUGAAUGGAACCCAGACCCUCUGGGCGAAGUGCUUACAAGUCAAGCCCGGCUGAGCAGGAGGAGACCAACCCUGCUCCAGGCCUUGGUUUGCCCAUCUGAGGGGAAGCCGGGCUGCCUGCCCAUUGGAAGGGCUAGAGCAGGGUCAGGUGGGAGGGUUACGGGGCAGAAAGGCCAGUCAGAAUGGAGACAGCCUGGGACCACGGCCUCACCCUGAAACUGAGCAUGUCCCAGGCUCAGUCAGGGGGCAGCUGUGGAUCCGCCUGGAGGGGCCACACAGAUGGAGCCUGGGUCUGGCUCCAGCCGGGCCCUGGUGCCAGCCACCACACCAUGCCCAGCCAAGUAGAGACAGAGGAAGCACAAAGCCUGGCAGAGACCCUCACCUGCACACCCAGACUCCUCCCCAAACUGGCUCUUCCCAGAGGGGCCAGGCACAGCCGGCACCCUCACCAGAUGCCUGACCGCAGGGCAUCAGAUGCCACCCCAGCCCAGCUCUGCCCAGCUGGACCCUCUCCCCAGCCCCAACACUCCUCUGACUUUGGCCUCCCACAAUCCACUCCUGCACAACCAGAGGGAGCUUUGAAAGCCACGAAUCAUAAGCCAUCUCUCCUGGGCCCACAGACUUCCCUUGGUUCACCACUGCCCCAGGAGCAGACCCGCCUCCUUCAUGAACACCUGCUCCCAGGAAACGCCGUGCUGCUUCCUUCAGACUUUUGAGCAUGCAAUCUCCUGCCUGCAGCGUGCUUCCUGAAUGCUGCAUCCUGUGCCUUCCUCCAGGAAGCCCUCCUGCCUGCCCCACACUGCCAAGUUGUCAGUUGGCCUCCUUGGGGCUUGAGGCCACCAAAGGGAAAGCACCAAUAACUGGGGUGGAUGCAACUGAGCCACCUUCAGGUCAGGGUGGCACAGGUGCAAAAGCCAGGCCCAAAGGGGCCCAUAUCAUUUCUUUAAUCCAAACCCCAAAGAGGUAAACCUGCUGCCCAGAAAGGUGUGGCAACACCCGCAGGGCACACAGCAGCCUGCCCAGACUCCCGCCCACCCCUUGCCUCCUCUCACGGGCGGCGUGGACGCCGUGAGUGGGUGUGUGCCGCUGCGGUACACCUCCCGGGACUCAGCGUGCCCUCUCGCUCCCACUUAGGAGUAAGAGGUUUGACUCUGCGCUGGAGGCCGGCAGGGGUGCGGCCCCGCGGCGGGGAUCUGGUAGCCUGCCCUGCUGGGGGCACGCACCUGCUUACUUGUAGCUGAGUCGGCUGUGGCUCCUGGGCCUGGGGCCUCCUCCCUUCGCGCAGCUCCGCGGACCCCGCCGGAAAUCCCAGCCUGGGGUGGCCACGCGCGGUCAAGGGGCUCCCGGACGGACAAAGCCUGAUCCAGGCCUGGCCAGGCGGUGCCGCGGCUCCGGGCGCUGGGCGAGACCACAGCAAGCGGGGGAGGAUGCGGGAUGCGGGAUGCAGGCGCAGCGGCCAAUGGCAGCACGGGAAGACGGGCUGAUGCCAUGGCAACAGCCAAUGGUGGCCCGGGGCGGGGACCCGCGACGGCCGCCGCGCAUCGGGCCUCCACUGUGGCUCAAGGACUGCGUGUACGUGUACGAGGGGUGGGGUGGGUGAACCCCUCCCAAGGGAAGGGGGCGUCCCGGGCUCCAGGACUCCAAUGUCCCCCUCAUUGCAAGAAGAAACAGUGUCAAACCUGCCAGCUGCUGGAGACGCAGAGUUUGAGUAAAACACCAAA
Sciurus carolinensis (gray squirrel) is the source of this 4204-nucleotide long non-coding RNA. RefSeq lists it as uncharacterized. The record is from RefSeq and is a predicted model, not a curated record. The transcript is spliced from 5 exons. NCBI's taxonomy places the organism in Eukaryota, Metazoa, Chordata, Mammalia, Rodentia, Sciuridae.